AUGGGCGACGGGGUGGCUUUUGAGGCUGCCAGGAAGAUCAUCAUGCACCCGCUCUACGCGUCGAGGUCCUCGCCCUGGCUCGACCUCAAGGUGUUCUACGUGAGGGUCAGCAACUGCAUGGUGGACGAGUCCGCGCCGGACCAUCUCACGCUCAACCACAUCCCGCUGUCCCCCGACACGGUCAUCGAGGUCAACGGGCGGCGGAGCAGCAUGCACACCGAGUUCGUCUCGUCGUCCCUCAGAAGGGACAGGAUCGACAAGAAGACCGAGGAGGCCACGUACGUGAGCACGGAUAGCAUAAGGAUGACGGGGAGCGUAAGGUUCCAGGUGUUUGAUAAGAACGAUCUCUUGCUCACCGGGGACCUGGAGUUAUGCAAUGCCAAUGGUGUGGUCGGGGAACCGAAGAGCAGCAGCAAGAAAUGGAAUAUCAAGUGCCAAUCCUCGGCAUCGUCUAGUGGUUUCUUGAAGGGGAAGAUGUCCACGGGCCCAGACUCUGCGCAUCCUGUUGUCGAGGUUUACAUUGCUGGCACUUUCUCUGGCACGCCAAUUAUAUUAACCAAGACGGUCCAGUAUAUAUCACGGAGGAAGUCCCAGAUGAAACUGAAGCUGGACUCUAUCCCUGAGAAUGAAGCAACUGAACUACAUACAGAGAACUCACACGGGGACUCUGUGAAGGUAUCAGAAUUCUAUGAUCCCAAGUCUGAGACAGACGUGGACAUGGACUAUAACAGCUUGUACUCGAGGCAGGACUUUCUAGAGGGCGAGGAUGGUGAGCUUUCAUGGUUUAAUGCUGGCGUGCGGGUUGGAGUCGGGAUCGGCCUCGGCAUAUGCGUGGGCGUCGGGUUGGGUGUUGGCCUGCUGGUCCGGACAUACCAAGGCACCAGCAGGAACUUCAGGCGGCGACUGCCCUGA
This 912-nucleotide ribosomal RNA is filed under the name Triticum aestivum (bread wheat). RNAcentral describes it as "partial small subunit ribosomal RNA". The record is from RNAcentral. Lineage: Eukaryota; Viridiplantae; Streptophyta; Magnoliopsida; Poales; Poaceae.